RNAcentral lists this ribosomal RNA (420 nucleotides) under uncultured eukaryote. Its description in RNAcentral is "SSU rRNA". It matches the Rfam family "Eukaryotic small subunit ribosomal RNA", at positions 592 to 1018 of the family's 1831-position model. The record is from RNAcentral.
CAAUAGCGUAUAUUAAAGUUGUUGCAGUUAAAACGCUCGUAGUCGGAUUUCGGGGCGGGCCGACCGGUCUGCCGAUGGGUAUGCACUGGCCGGCGCGUCCUUCCACCCGGAGACCGCGCCUACUCUUAACUGAGCGGGCGCGGGAGACGGGCCUUUUACUUUGAAAAAUCAGAGUGUUUCAAGCAGGCAGUCGCUCUUGCAUGGAUUAGCAUGGGAUAAUGAAAUAGGACUCUGGUGCUAUUUUGUUGGUUUCGAACACCGAAGUAAUGAUGAGAAGGGACAGUCAGGGGCACUCGUAUUCCGCAGAGAGAGGUGAAAUUCUCAGACCCGCGGAAGACGAACCACUGCGAAAGCAUUUGCCAGGGAUGUUUUCACUGAUCAAGAACGAAAGUUAGGGGAUCGAAGACGAUCAGAUACCAU